UGCUACAAGUUGGAUGCCAACCUGGCCAGU
This 30-nucleotide non-coding RNA is filed under the name Mus musculus (house mouse). The record is from RNAcentral. Lineage: Eukaryota; Metazoa; Chordata; Mammalia; Rodentia; Muridae.